Molecule: ribosomal RNA, 274 nt
Filed under: uncultured bacterium
Lineage: Bacteria
Description: partial 16S ribosomal RNA
Rfam family: Bacterial small subunit ribosomal RNA
Source: RNAcentral
AUACGGAGGGGGCUAGCGUUGUUCGGAAUUACUGGGCGUAAAGCGCGUGUAGGCGGAUCGUUAAGUCAGGGGUGAAAGCCCGGGGCUCAACCCCGGAACUGCCCUUGAUACUGGCGAUCUAGAGUCCGGAAGAGGUGGGCGGAAUUCCCGGUGUAGAGGUGAAAUUCGUAGAUAUCGGGAGGAACACCAGUGGCGAAGGCGGCUUACUGGUCCGGUACUGACGCUGAGACGCGAAAGCGUGGGGAGCAAACAGGAUUAGAAACCCUAGUAGUCC